GCUGGACAUGGUAGUGCAUGCCUGUAAUCCCAGAGGCUAAGGAGGCUGAGACAGGAGGAUCACUAGUUCAAAGCCAGCCUCAGCAAGGGUGAGGCACCUACAUAACUCAGUGAGACUGUGUCUCUA
RNAcentral lists this small RNA (126 nucleotides) under Marmota monax (woodchuck). The record is from RNAcentral. Lineage: Eukaryota; Metazoa; Chordata; Mammalia; Rodentia; Sciuridae.